AAGUCGUAACAAGGUUUCCGUAGGUGAACCUGCGGAAGGAUCAUUAAAGAUUCGACCUUCGGGUCUAUCUUCUCUUCAGCUGUGCGCUUUGGCUGCACGCUGUUGAACUUCACACACCUGUGCACACUUCGGUUGUGGCUGGUUAACUCUGGUCGCUUCCGCUUUUACAUUUAACUACCAAGUCUAGAAUGUCAAAUACAAUAAAAAUAACAACUUUUAACAACGGAUCUCUUGGCUCUC
Molecule: unclassified non-coding RNA, 240 nt
Filed under: Oliveonia sp.
Lineage: Eukaryota; Fungi; Basidiomycota; Agaricomycetes; Cantharellales; Oliveoniaceae
Also listed under: 1 other name
Description: partial contains small subunit ribosomal RNA, internal transcribed spacer 1, and 5.8S ribosomal RNA
Rfam family: Eukaryotic small subunit ribosomal RNA (bases 1-46)
Source: RNAcentral